UGGAGUGGGAAUAAAGAGUCAACAUAAUAUGAAUGGGGAAUACCGAUAUAUCAACGUUUACCAACAUGCAUAAAUGCCAAUUAUGAUUAAAAAGUAGGUGGUUUCCUACCUUUUUCCCUACCGAAAUUU
Molecule: small RNA, 129 nt
Filed under: uncultured Tetragenococcus sp.
Lineage: Bacteria; Bacillati; Bacillota; Bacilli; Lactobacillales; Enterococcaceae
Description: Listeria sRNA rli38
Rfam family: Listeria sRNA rli38
Source: RNAcentral